CCUUGAACUCACCGUAUAGUUUGUUUACAUGUAUUGAUUGAUAUAACUUUUUCCGACUUCCUAGGACGUGUUUUAUGCCACUUUUUCUGUCUCAUUUUGUCCACCACACUUUUAACGUUGUGCGUGAGUGCACAAAGGAUCGGAUCGAAAUCCACACCCCGACGUAUGAUAUUUCCAAAAUAUCCGACACACAGGAAAUACAAGACUUCUAUUGGUGUUGGAGCCCUGCCUGACACAAGCCGCUCAAGGAAAGUUGAGCGCAGGGCCACAGACUUGAUGCCUUUGGAGAGACCCAGCAUGGACUUUGGACUGGGGACCAGGUUGAAGGGCACCGGCAGCGUUCUUCCCUCCUCAAAGUAGGAGAACCAGAGUUUAGCCCGGGCAAACUUCCACUCCACGUCGGCGUCGUCCUGCAAAGGACCACAGAGUUGCUGACAGGAAGGCAGAAACUCACCCGAGCCAUCGUCCUGGGCAACUGUUCUCCCCCGGGAAGUGGUGGUCGUCCCGGCUCCUGGCCCGCGGGCUGUCCGCCGCCUGCCUGUGGUUCAUCGGAGAGUCUGAAGGGAUCAUCAUGUCGUGCAGAGCCGCAAAGACCCUGGAAAACACCCCAAAACCUGCAAGGUGUCCAAAGCCGUCCACGUGGGCCGCCCAGGGUCGCUUGAAGUCCAUCAGGCCUUCGGUCCUGCGCUGCAUCACCGUCCAGCCCCCGCCCAUGUAGUCCAUCUCGCAGAAGACCUGAGGGGGUGUGGCAGGUGAGGCCAGCGCUCCUUGGCGUGGAGGACAGCGUUACCUCGAAGGACGAGUCCGAGUGGUCCGGGCUGACGAUGUAAAUCCCGCUGGGGAUCUUGGGGACCAGGGACAUCAGACUGUCUUUGAUGUCGCUGCAGUCUCGCCCUCAACACAGAAACACAGGUGACCUUUUUUUCAUCACCUUUCUUCACCUGGAAUGUGGCGCCGCCCUGCUGGUGGGCGUGUGUUACCGUGCGAUAGAGGAGGUUUGGCGGCGAACAUGUCGGCGUUGCUCCGCUGCACCUCCGCGCUGAGCGCCUGCACUUUGUUCAUCACCUCGGACACCUGUGACGUCAUGGCCUGUGGUUACAACCUGUGUCCAGCAGGGGGCGCCAAAGUGCGGCCCAAAGCUAUUUUUUUUCCCUUCAUUCUAAAAAUACUAUUUUAAAAAGAGUGGGGGGGGAAAGUUGCAAUGUCGACUCUAAAAACACGACAACUGAUUUUUUUUCUUUAAAACUGUCAUUGCUCAAAAUGUAAUAAUGCAUCAAAAUCCAUGUUGUUAUUAUUGAUCUGUUCACAGCUCUAGUUCAAUCAAAUAUUUCACUUUUGUGGAAAAUAUUGCAUUUUUGAUGUGUUUUUCAUAUGAAAAACAUGUCAAAAAGUUAUAAUCAUUGACCUUGAGACUUAGGCGUUGAAAGAAAAUUAUAAUAAUUACGUAUUAAAAACAUUUUGAGUGGAUCCCCCAAAAU
Entelurus aequoreus (snake pipefish) is the source of this 1478-nucleotide long non-coding RNA. RefSeq lists it as uncharacterized. Lineage: Eukaryota; Metazoa; Chordata; Actinopteri; Syngnathiformes; Syngnathidae. The transcript has 6 exons. The record is from RefSeq and is a predicted model, not a curated record.